Molecule: long non-coding RNA, 1845 nt
Filed under: Rattus norvegicus (Norway rat)
Lineage: Eukaryota; Metazoa; Chordata; Mammalia; Rodentia; Muridae
Description: long non-coding RNA NONRATT025631
Source: RNAcentral
GGCGCCGACGUGAGCGUGAGCCUGUGCCGCCAAGGAGGCCGCCCCUGCUGGAGCCAGAGCCACCGAAGGCACGGGAACCAGAGGUCUAACUGAGUAGAGGAUGGCCACGCCUCCGCUCCAUCGUGCCUCUCCUGCCAAAGUUGAAAAGGAAGGGAUGUUGAUGAUGUUCUUUUAUGCAUAAUCCCUGAUGACUCCUUCUGCAAUUGGAGUUAGAAGACAGUAGCUCAGUUUGCCCUUACCUCCCUUACCGUGCUGAUGACUCAGAAAGUGAAAUGACUGGGGUAAUAUCUGGUGAAAGUGGAGGGAGUUCGAAACCUAGAGUCUUGUGGACCUUUGUAGUAGAAGGGCUUCCCUCUGUCCUAGGGAUCCCAGUCUGAUUCUAACCACGUCUUGCACCAGGAGGAAUUAUCCGGACCCAGCUCGGACACGCUGGCCACUGUAGAAUCCAGCUCCAAUGAGCCUGACAAGGAGGUGGCAUCUCCGGAUGUGGCAGCUACAGCCACUCUUUCCUCCGUGGAGGAGCCCGGCCCUAACCCAACAGCCACGCCACCAGUAUGGGACCGUGGAGGACCUCUGCAGCAAGUUGCCUGUCCAGUCCCAGACAGCUGCCAGACUAGCUCGACCACCAGAGGCGUGGGGACCAAUGAGGACCUUCGGUUGCCUAGACGACGUCCACCACCAGGGAAACAAAUACCCUGCUCUAGCCCUGGCUGCUCCCUCAGUUUCCCCAGUGUUCGAGAUCUGGCACAGCAUCUCCGUACCCACUGUCCACCCACACAGUCACUGGAAGGCAAACUCUUCCGAUGCUCAGCCCUGAGCUGCACUGAGAGUUUCCCCAGCAUGCAGGAGCUGGUAGCCCACGGCAAGCUGCACUACAAGCCCAAUCGAUACUUCAAGUGAGACCCUGACCAUCCCCUCUGUCGAUUCCCAAUCUUUAGGGCUUCCUAACUGGAGGAAGGGUGGGUUGAAGUAUGAGUAUGGCCUGGGAAACCAGCCCCAACCGUGCAUGGAAAACAGAUGUGAAUUAGGAGUAAGUCACUGUGGCUACAGGCUCAGUGUGGAGGUGCAGAGUACACAUGCUGUGGUUCUGUCCAGUUCCACCUCAUUUCUUAUAUGGAAAACUGGUCACCUAAGUAAAAUCAAAACUUGAGAGUCUGAGCUGGAAAGAUCCAGAAGACUACAGUGAAGGAGGGCAUGGAGGCCAAGCUCCUUCACUUUGGGUACAGUACCACAGAGGUUCUAAUGUAGAUACCCUUCCCACAUCCUGGUCCCUGGGUAGCAAUGGAUAGGCCCUUCCUGUUGCCCAGGAGACAGUCAAGUACUGUGCCUGCCUCCAGGUGUGAGAAUUGCCUCCUGCGCUUCCGCACUCAUCGCUCGCUCUUCAAGCAUCUGCAUGUUUGUAUAGACCAUGGUCAGAACCCAGCCCCGCCACCACCCCCUGCCCUGGACAAAGAGCCACCUGUACCUGAGCGUCCCCCAGAGUCCGACCCUUCGUCCUCCCUGGGCCUGCCAUUCCCACUACUUGAGCCUUUCACCUCUGCCCCCACUGGGCCCUUCCUUCCUUACUUGAACCCUGCACCCUUUGGCCUGAGUCCCCCGAGACUGCGCCCAUUCCUGGCUGCCACUCCAGGGCCACCGACAUCCAGCACUGCCAUCUGGAAGAAGAGUCAAGGUGCUACCAGUAGUCCUAGAAGACCUCAGGGCGGCUCCGAUGCGCCCUCAGGUGCGUGCAGGUGACCACCAGGGACGGGUGGAGGGGCCCUUCAUUCCUGUGCCCUAAGUGGGCCCUGUGAAUGCUGGAAAGCAGCGGUGACUGUCCCUUAAAAUACAUGAUUUUUGCCUUUC